AAAGGAAUAGACGGGGGCCCGCACAAGCAGUGGAGUAUGUGGUUUAAUUCGAAGCAACGCGAAGAACCUUACCAGGGCUUGACAUCCCCCGGAUGGUGCAGAGAUGUGCCAGUCCUUCGGGACGGGGAGACAGGUGGUGCAUGGUUGUCGUCAGCUCGUGUCGUGAGAUGUUGGGUUAAGUCCCGCAACGAGCGCAACCCUUGUUGUUAGUUGCCAGCGCGUAGAGGCGGGCACUCUAGCAAGACUGCCGGUGACAAAUCGGAGGAAGGUGGGGACGACGUCAAAUCAUCAUGCCCCUUAUGUCCUGGGCUACACACGUACUACAAUGGCCACAACAGCGGGAAGCGAAGGAGCAAUCCGGAGCGAAUCCCCAAAAGUGGUCCCAGUUCAGAUUGUGGGCUGAAACCCGCCCACAUGAAGGCGGAAUUGCUAGUAAUGGCAGGUCAGCAUACUGCCGUGAAUACGUUCCCGGGCCUUGUACACACCGCCCGU
RNAcentral lists this ribosomal RNA (492 nucleotides) under uncultured bacterium. RNAcentral's name for it is "bacterial SSU rRNA". It matches the Rfam family "Bacterial small subunit ribosomal RNA", at positions 903 to 1397 of the family's 1533-position model. The record is from RNAcentral.